GUACUUGUUUUGGCCGCACAUAUAUUAAAAUUGGAACAAUACAGAGAAGAUUUGCAUGGCCCCUGUGCAAGGAAGACACACAAAUUCAUUAAGUAUUACAUAUUUUA
Molecule: small nuclear RNA, 107 nt
Organism: Sciurus carolinensis (gray squirrel)
Lineage: Eukaryota; Metazoa; Chordata; Mammalia; Rodentia; Sciuridae
Source: RefSeq, a predicted model, not a curated record